GAAGUCAGAUCAUGUCCUUCUGCUUCUCAGAAGCCUUCCAUGGCUCCUGGCUUUAGGGAGAGUGAAAACUCAGGUUCUUAUCGUGGCCCAUGGGUCCUGCACCUCCUUCCUGUGUCUCCUCCACUCCUCUGAUCGCCCCGCUUAGCCCUUAGAGCCCUGAGGACUUUGGUUGUUUCUUGAAAACACCAAACUCAUUGGGACAACUGAACGGCAAUACCCGCUAUGACCUCUCGCCCUCUGGCCUCCCCUUGUUGUCAGACACUGGGUCAGGCACAUCCCCAGAUCCUGUCCCCACCAUCUCUUUUCAGCUGCCUUCUCCUCCUGCCCUGGUAGCCCCUGAACCCGGCAGAGUAGAGCUCCCGGGCCUGGUUGUUGUUGCUGUUCAGUCGCUCAGUUGUGUCCGACUAGUCGCAAUCACAUGGGUGGCAGCGCACCAGGCUUCCCUCCUGUCCUUCACUAUCUCCUGGGGUUGGCUCAAACUCCAUUGAGUCGGUGAUGCCAUCCAACCAUCUCCUCUGUUGCCUGGGCCUGGAACUCAUCAAUUUUGCAAUCUCUGCUUCCUCCUGGUGACACUGAAGCCCCACCAGGUGGCAGAAAUUAACUGCUUGUUGACCAUAAGCAGGUAGAUGGCCGAACAGCUGGAACCAGAAGUUCAGCUCAGUCGCUCAGUCGUGUCCGACUCUUUGCAACCCCAUGAAUCACAGCACGCCAGGCCUCCCUGUCCAUCACUAACUCCCGGAGUUCACUCACACUCAC
Long non-coding RNA from Bos taurus (domestic cattle), 756 nucleotides. The record is from Ensembl. Lineage: Eukaryota; Metazoa; Chordata; Mammalia; Artiodactyla; Bovidae.